UGGGAAAUAGCACAACUGGUAGAGCACAGGACUUGUGUGCCUGAGAUUCCUGGUUUGACCCCUGGCAUCGCAU
This 73-nucleotide transfer RNA is filed under the name Erinaceus europaeus (western European hedgehog). It matches the Rfam family "tRNA". From Rfam's summary of the family: Transfer RNA (tRNA) molecules are approximately 80 nucleotides in length. Their secondary structure includes four short double-helical elements and three loops (D, anti-codon, and T loops). Further hydrogen bonds mediate the characteristic L-shaped molecular structure. tRNAs have two regions of fundamental functional importance: the anti-codon, which is responsible for specific mRNA codon recognition, and the 3' end, to which the tRNAs corresponding amino acid is attached (by aminoacyl-tRNA synthetases). tRNAs cope with the degeneracy of the genetic code in two manners: having more than one tRNA (with a specific anti-codon) for a particular amino acid; and 'wobble' base-pairing, i.e. permitting non-standard base-pairing at the 3rd anti-codon position. Lineage: Eukaryota; Metazoa; Chordata; Mammalia; Eulipotyphla; Erinaceidae. The record is from Rfam by way of RNAcentral.